AGUUCGGAUUCUGGCUCAGACUGGAACGCUGGCGUAGAUGUGCUUUUACACAUGCAAGUCGAACGGCAGCACGGGACUUCGGUCUGGUGGCGAGUGGCGUAAACGGGUGAGUAAUGUAUCGGAACGUGCCUAGUAGCGGGGGAUAACUACGCGAAAGCGUAGCACACGCACACGCUCCUUCGGGGGAAAGCGGGGGGACCUUCGGGCCUCUCGCACUAUUAGAGCGGCCGAUAUCGAUUAGCUAGUUGGUGGGGUAACGGCUCACCAAGGCGACGAUCCGUAGCUGGUUUGAGAGGACGACCAGCCACACUGGGACUGAGACACGGCCCAGACUCCUACGGGAGGCAGCAGUGGGGAAUUUUGACAAUGGGGGAAACCUGAUCCAGCCAUCCCGCGUGUGUGAUGAAGGCCUUCGGGUUGUAAAGAAUUUCUGGCAGGAAAGAAACGGCACGGGAUAAUACCCUGCGCAACUGACGGUAACUUUGCAGAAUAAGCACCGGCUAACUACGUGCCAGCAGCCGCGGUAAUACGCAGGGUGCAAGCGUUAAUCGGAAUUACUGGGCGUAGCGCGUGCGCAGGCGGUUCGGAAAGAAAGAUGUGAAAUCCCAGAGCUUAACUCUUUUGGAACUGCAUUUUUAACUACCAGAUGCCAGAGUGCCGGAGGGAGGGAAUUCCAUGUAGCAGUGAAUGCGUAGAUAUGCGGAGGAACACCGAUGGCGAAGGCAGCCUCCUGGGAUAACACUGACGCCUAUGCACGAAAGCGUGGGGAGCAAACAGGAUUAGAUACCCUCCUGGUGUCCACGCCCUAAACGAUGUCAACUAGCUGUUGGGGCUCUUCGGGCCUUGGUAGCGCAGCUAACGCGUGAAGUUGACCGCUCAGAGCAUUAAUGCAAGAUUAAAACUCAAAGGAAUUUGAUGGGGACCCGCACAAGCGGUGGAUGAUGUGGAUUAAUUCGAUGCAACGCGAAAAACCUUACCUACCCUUGACAUGUCUGGAAUCCCGAAGAGAUUUGGGAGUGCUCGCGCGAGAACUUAGAACCAGGUGCUGCAUGGCUGUCGUUACAACAGCUCGCGUCGUGAUGUUGGUUAAGUCCCGCAACGAGCGCAACCCUUGUCAUUAGUUGCUACGAAAGGGCACUCUAAUGAGACUGCCGGUGACAAACCGAGGAAGGUGGGGAUGACGUCAAGUCCUCGCGGCCCUUAUGGGUAGGGCUUCACACGUCAUACAAUGGCUCGGACAGAGGGUCGCCAACCUGCGAGGGGGGAGCUAAUCCUAGAAACCCGAUCGUAGUCCGGAUCGCAGUCUGCAACUGACUGCGCAAGCUGAAACUGCCAGUAAUCGCGGAUCAGCAUGUCGCGUGAAUACGUUCCUGGUCUUGUACACUGCCCGUCACACCAUGGGAGUGGGUUUUACCAGAAGUAGUUAGCCUAACCGUAAGGGAGGGCGAUUACCACGGUAGGAUUCAUGACUGGGGUGAAGUCGUAACAAGGUAG
Molecule: ribosomal RNA, 1494 nt
Filed under: uncultured Bordetella sp.
Lineage: Bacteria; Pseudomonadati; Pseudomonadota; Betaproteobacteria; Burkholderiales; Alcaligenaceae
Description: partial 16S-23S ribosomal RNA intergenic spacer
Rfam family: Bacterial small subunit ribosomal RNA
Source: RNAcentral